GAUCGGGGCAACCACCGAUUCCGGCCACCACCAACCGUGACACCGGUACCAAACAGACCGGCCGUGCCCCACCGUCACACCCCAGCCAAGCUCCGUCGAUAGCAGCCGCGAAUUUCGCCGGAAAUUGCAGAAAUCCGGUGGUUUUUCCCGAUUUUUCAAACCGCUCGUUCUCUCUCAUUUCUUCACCAAAUUGGACGUAUAAGGUACUCCAACCCAGCAUACGCAGCAGGCGGGACCCUCUAAGGGUCAAGCUGUGUGGGAUUACUUCCAGUAGCGACUGAGUUUUGCAGUUGAGCCGGACCGGGUGCAUUUUGGAAUUCGAGUCUUCGUAGAGACUCUUGGUACCUUUUCCUUUCAGUUGACGAUAUUUCGGUUGUAUUUUGAAUUCUGUAGUUAUGCUCUGUAUCGCCCACUGAGGGUUUAAAUUUUGUAAGGCCUGGAGGCCUUGUUUGUAAAUUAUUGUACUGCCUGUAAAGCAUGCUGCCAGUUGGUUGUUUUUAACUGUAAAUUUUGAGCAGGUUGAAUUGGGAAAUGUUCAAUUUACAGGGGAGACUCUGCCAAAUUUUUGGUAGAAAGUCUCAG
This is a non-coding RNA of Prunus mume (Japanese apricot), 582 nucleotides long. NCBI's taxonomy places the organism in Eukaryota, Viridiplantae, Streptophyta, Magnoliopsida, Rosales, Rosaceae. The record is from RefSeq and is a predicted model, not a curated record.